AAUCUGUAUGAUAACUGGUGUGUUUACAUUUGAAAUGGGGCAGAAGAGUACUGAUUAAGGAUUAGUAAUCAACCAGAACCGAGUUCAGCUGUGUAGUGUAACAGUCAGUGAGCUGGGGUGAGGAUCAAAAGGGGAGAGAUGAAUGCCUCGGGAGAGAGAGAACCAACCAGCACAGAGCCGCGUGUUUGCGUGUGUGUGUAUUUAUAAAAUAAAACUGCUAAAAAAAAAAACCCGUCAUAGAGUCCGCACUGCUGGCUGAGA
This is a long non-coding RNA of Pangasianodon hypophthalmus (striped catfish), 261 nucleotides long. RefSeq lists it as uncharacterized. The transcript is spliced from 2 exons. The record is from RefSeq and is a predicted model, not a curated record. NCBI's taxonomy places the organism in Eukaryota, Metazoa, Chordata, Actinopteri, Siluriformes, Pangasiidae.